GACGAACGCUGGCGGCGUGCCUAAUACAUGCAAGUAGAACGCUGAAGGGAGAGCUUGCUCUUCUGGAUGAGUUGCGAACGGGUGAGUAACGCGUAGGUAACCUGCCUGGUAGCGGGGGAUAACUAUUGGAAACGAUAGCUAAUACCGCAUAAUAGCAGUUAUUGCAUGAUAACUGUUUGAAAGGUGCAAUUGCACCACUACCAGAUGGACCUGCGUUGUAUUAGCUAGUUGGUGGGGUAACGGCUCACCAAGGCAACGAUACAUAGCCGACCUGAGAGGGUGAUCGGCCACACUGGGACUGAGACACGGCCCAGACUCCUACGGGAGGCAGCAGUAGGGAAUCUUCGGCAAUGGACGGAAGUCUGACCGAGCAACGCCGCGUGAGUGAAGAAGGUUUUCGGAUCGUAAAGCUCUGUUGUAAGAGAAGAACGAGUGUGAGAGUGGAAAGUUCACACUGUGACG
This 462-nucleotide ribosomal RNA is filed under the name Streptococcus mitis. RNAcentral describes it as "bacterial SSU rRNA". It matches the Rfam family "Bacterial small subunit ribosomal RNA", at positions 28 to 474 of the family's 1533-position model. Lineage: Bacteria; Bacillati; Bacillota; Bacilli; Lactobacillales; Streptococcaceae. The record is from RNAcentral.